UACGGAGGGUGCGAGCGUUAAUCGGAAUUACUGGGCGUAAAGCGCACGCAGGCGGUCUGUUAAGCUAGAUGUGAAAGCCCCGCGCUCAACGUGGGAGGGUCAUUUAGAACUGGCAGACUAGAGUCUUGGAGAGGUGAGUGGAAUUCCGAGUGUAGAGGUGAAAUUCGUAGAUAUUCGGAGGAACAUCAAUGGCGAAGGCAACUCCCUGGCCAAAGACUGACGCUCAUGUGCGAAAGUGUGGGUAGCGAACAGG
This 253-nucleotide ribosomal RNA is filed under the name uncultured bacterium. RNAcentral describes it as "partial 16S ribosomal RNA". It matches the Rfam family "Bacterial small subunit ribosomal RNA", at positions 524 to 776 of the family's 1533-position model. The record is from RNAcentral.